AAUAACACAAAAAAAAUGACAAUUGUAAUGUCAUCUAUUCCAUCUUUGUCUGGGUGAUUUUAACGUUGUCACAGGGGGUUAUGCUCCUCCACCUGAAGCUUGGAUUGUGACAUAAAAGGAAGUGGGGAAAAAUGUGACUAAAUAUUGCAUGGAUUUUGAAAAUGUGCUUGUGAGAACAUUGAGAAGCUUUUAACAGAUUCAGUCUUUUAUUUUUCCUUUCUAACUUCUACAGUCUGUAUCAGUGUGGGUUACUGGAGUUUCAUCUUCUGAAGCCUUUCCAGGCCCUAGCUGUUUGGUCAGCUAAUCACAGAUAUCACAUUUUAAAAGAAGAUCCACAAAGCAGUUGCAGGCACUUGGAAGAAUUUUGACCAAGUUUGGGUGAACCAAGGACUAUGGAGAACAUCAGAAUUCAUGUGAUAUUAAUGAAGUGAUUAUUCAUACUGGACUUACAAAUGUAGAAGACUUAAGUUCUUCUGGGAGGAGGCAGGAUCACAACCAGGAGCACCAGGAGCAUCAUUCUUUCCUAGCUGUUGAAGAUGUUGCCAUUUCCUUGAUGAUGUGCCCAGCUGUUUAAAAAGCAGGAAAAAAAAAUCCAUGUGCUUGACAUUUGACAGGUUUCAA
RNAcentral lists this long non-coding RNA (621 nucleotides) under Numida meleagris (helmeted guineafowl). RNAcentral describes it as "lncRNA (ENSNMEG00000000154.1)". The record is from RNAcentral. Lineage: Eukaryota; Metazoa; Chordata; Aves; Galliformes; Numididae.